GUGGGCAGGUGCAGGCAGUGAUCGGUUGAAGAGCAUGCAUUUAGUUUUACUUAGACUCACCAGCAGCAAGAGCGACAUCAUUGAUGUAUACAGAGAAGAGAGUCGGCUCAGGAAUUGAACCCUGUGGCACCCCCAUAGAGACUGCCAGAGGUCCGGACAACAUGCCCUCUGAUUUGAAAUACUGAACUCUAUCAGAGAAGUAGUUGGUGAACCAGGCGAGGCAAUCAUUUGAGAAACCAAGGCUAUUGAGUGCCGAUGAGGAAGUGGUGAUUGACAGAGUCGAAAGCCUUGGCCAGGUCAAUGAAUAUGGCUGCACAGUAUUGUUUCUUAUCGACGGCGGUUAAGAUAUCGUUUAGGACCUUGAGCGUGGCUGAGGUGCACCCAUGACCAGCUCUGAAACCAGAUUGCAUAGCGGAGAAGGUGCGGUGGGAUUCGAAAUGGUCGGUAAUCUGUUUGUUGACUUGGCUUUCGAAGACCUUAGAAAGGCAGGGUAGGAUAGAUAUAGGUCUGUAGCAGUUUGGGUCAAGAGUGUCUCCCCCUUUGAAGAGGGGGAUGGUCGCAGCUGCUUUCCAAUCUUUGGGAAUCUCAGACGACACGAAAGAGAGGUUGAACAGGCUAGUAAUAGGGGUUGCAACAAUUACGGCAGAUAAUUUUAGAAAGGGUCCAGAUUGUCUAGCCCGGCUGAUUUGUAGGGGUCCAGAUUUUGCAGCUCUUUCAGAACAUCAGCUGACUGGAUUUGGGAGAAGGAGAAAUGGGGAAGGCUUGGGCGAGUUGCUGUGGGGGGUGCAGUGCUGUUGACCGGGAUAGGGGUAGCCAGGUGGAAAGCAUGGCCAGCCGUAGAAAAAUGCUUAUUGAAAUUCUCAAUUAUAGUGGAUUUAUCAGUGGUGACAGAGUUUCCUAUCCUCAGUGCAGUGGGCAGCUGGGAGGAGGUGCUCUUAUUCUCCAUGGACUUUACAGUGUCCCAGAACUUUUUUGAGUUUGUGUUGCAGGAAGCAAAUUUCUGCUUGAAAAAGCUAGCCUUGGCUUUUUCUAACUGCCUGUGUAUAUUGGUUUCUAACUUCCCGGAAAAAUUGCAUAACACGUGGGCUGUUCAAUGCUAAUGCAGAACGCCACAGAAUCUUUUUGUGUUGGUUAAGGGCAGUCAGGUCUGGAGAGAACCAAGGGCUGUAUCUGUUCCUGGUUCUACGUUUCUUGAACGGGGAAUGCUUAUUUAAGAUGGUGAUGAAGGCAUUUAAAAGAAAAUAACCAGGCAUCCUCUACUGACGGGAUGAGGUCAAUAUCCUUCCAGGAUACCUGGGCCAGGUCGAUUAGAAAGGCCUGCUCACUGAAGUGUUUCAGGGAGCGUUUGACAGUGAUGAGUGGAGGUCGUUUGACCGCUGACCCAUUACGGAUGCAGGCAAUGAGGCAGUGAUCGCUGAGAUCUUGGUUGAAAACAGCAGAGGUGUAUUUAGAGGGCAAGUUGGUUAGGAUGAUAUCUAUGAGGGUGCCCGUGUUUACGGCUUUGGGGUGGUACCUGGCAGGUUCAUUGAUAAUUUGUGUGAGAUUGAGGGCAUCAAGCUUAGAUUGUAGGAUGGCUGGGGUGUUAAGCAUGUCCCAGUUUAGGUCACCUAGUUAGCACGAGCUCUGAUGAUAGAUGGGGGGCAAUCAGUUCACAUAUGGUGUCCAGAGCACAGCUGGGGGCAGAGGGUGGUCUAUAGCAGGCAGCAACGGUGAGAGACUUGUUUUUAGAAGUUCUAUUUUUAAAAGUAGAAGUUCAAAUUGUUUGGGUACAGACCUGGAUAGUAGGACAGAACUCUGCAGGCUAUCUCUGCAGUAGAUUGCAACACCGCCCCCUUCGGCCGUUCUAUCUUGUCUGAAAAUUUUGUAGUUAGGGAUGGAGAUUUCAGAGCUUUUGGUGGUCUUCCUAAGCCAGGAUUCAGACACGGCUAGGACAUCCGGGUUGGCAGAGUGUGCUAAAUCAGUGAAUAAAACAAACUUAGGGAGGAGGCUUCUAAUGUUAACAUGCAUGAAACCAAAAGAGCGCCUGGGGAAUAGGAGUGGAGCUAGGCACUGCAGGGCCUGGAUUCACCUCUACAUUGCCAUAGGAACAGAGGAGGAGUAGGAUAAGGGUACGGCUAAAAGCUUUGAGAAUUGGUCGUCUAGGACGUCCGGAACAGAGAGUAAAAGGAGCAGGUUUCUGGGGGCGAUAAAAUAGCUUCAAGGUAUAAUGUACAGACAAAGGUAUGGUAGGAUGUGAAUACAGUGGAGGUAAACCUAGACAUUGAGUGAUGAUGAGAGAGAUAUUGAUAAAAAAUGAUCAAACCCCCCACCCAAAAUCUAUUUUAAUUCCAGGUUGUAAGGCAAAAAAACAGGAAAAAUGCCAAGGGAGAUGAAUACUUUCGCAAGCCACUGUAAUCAUACAACUAAACAGACUGAAUGAGUGUAAGGCCUAGAUUCAAUCAGAUCAAGUGUUAACUGGCAAUAGCUGACACCGCAUAGCUGAUGUUUUGGUGGUGUCUGAGGUGUAACUGUGUUGGAUCUGUCAAAUCAGUGAGCAGCUGAUCUUAAUCAUUGUCACAAAACUACACCCGCCCUACUCAUGUUACAAGUUCAGAACGAGAAAGUGUAGGUUAUAUAGAAAUAAUGACGCUCAAAUUCAAAAUCAUUAAACUAAAUAAUGAGGAUUUCUAUCAGCCUAAUCGAGAUGUAGAUAACAUCUCAAAUUGCAAUGUUCUAACUUGUAAACAGGGCUGCAUGAGAUUUCCAUUAAUG
Molecule: long non-coding RNA, 2751 nt
Filed under: Salmo salar (Atlantic salmon)
Lineage: Eukaryota; Metazoa; Chordata; Actinopteri; Salmoniformes; Salmonidae
Description: lncRNA (ENSSSAG00000118692.1)
Source: RNAcentral